UUAGGAAUUUUGCACAAUGGACGAAAGUCUGAUGCAGCGACAUCGCGUGAGGGAUGACGGCCUUCGGGUUGUAAACCUCUUUUAUUUUUUCAUGAAGAAAGAAUGAAUAAGCAACUACUAACUACGUGCCAGCAGUCGCGGUAAUACGUAGGUUGCAAGCGUUACCCGGUUUUAUUGGGCGUAAAGGGUCCGUAGGUUGUCUUUCAAGUCUUGUUUUAAAUACUUCAGCUUAACUGGAGAAAGGGGCAAGAUACUGACUGACUAGAGUUAUAUCGGGGUUACUGGAAUUUUUAGUGUAGGGGUAAAAUCCGUGGAUACUAAAAAGAACACCAAGCGCGAAGGCGGGUAACCAGGUAUAUACUGACACUAAGGGACGAAAGCUAGGGUAGCAAAUCAG
RNAcentral lists this ribosomal RNA (397 nucleotides) under uncultured bacterium. Its description in RNAcentral is "bacterial SSU rRNA". It matches the Rfam family "Bacterial small subunit ribosomal RNA", at positions 355 to 776 of the family's 1533-position model. The record is from RNAcentral.